UCUUUAUCGCGAAGGGAAGAGGCACAGGAGGUGCUGGAAGGGCCGACCUUUCUCCCUCGGACCAAACAUCAAGUCAGCAGAAAUUUAAAAUAGCGGAUACACGGCAGCAAAGCCGUGUCGGGCAGCCAGGUUGCGUGGUUAAACUCUAGGUUCGGAGCAGCUGAGCCUGGCUCCUGAUUGCGUCUUACUAAAGACAGGACCUUGGAUAAAUUAUAUAACCGCUCUGAGCCUCGGUUUCCUGGUCGCUAAACGGAUGCAAAUUAUAUCUACUUCACUGCACGGUUAUGAAGAUUACAGGAAAGAAUCUGUGUAAAGUGCUAGUAUUUAGUGCUGCCAAUCCUGAUGGAAGAGGGAGGCGCUGGAAGGCUCCAUAAGGCGUCAUAAGAUCUGACUACUAGAAAACUCAAAAUGAUAAAUGUAGCUCUUGUUACAUUUCUACUGGCUGGGCACCGGAAUGCGCACAUAAAGGGUCUUUCACAUGCUGGCCUCUUUCCCAUCCAAUUUCUCCCUAGCAGGAGAUCUUCCUGAAAUAAUGCAGACCGGAGUACCUCACACAUUCCCCCAACACAAACAGGAACUUGUUACUCACUUGCCAUUGUUCUUGGGGGAAAGAACAAAAGCCCCAAUCUGUCCUCCAGGCUGCUGACUUCCUCAACCUGGCCCCACACAGGCCACAGAGCCACCUUCCAUCCCUUGGCCAGGAAGCUCCUUCCCACCUCAGGGCCUUUUCAUAGACCCU
This is a long non-coding RNA of Lepus europaeus (European hare), 739 nucleotides long. RefSeq lists it as uncharacterized. Lineage: Eukaryota; Metazoa; Chordata; Mammalia; Lagomorpha; Leporidae. The transcript has 3 exons. The record is from RefSeq and is a predicted model, not a curated record.